This 297-nucleotide ribosomal RNA is filed under the name Triticum aestivum (bread wheat). RNAcentral describes it as "partial small subunit ribosomal RNA". The record is from RNAcentral. Lineage: Eukaryota; Viridiplantae; Streptophyta; Magnoliopsida; Poales; Poaceae.
AUGGGCGCCGGGUUGUUUGGGUAUCUUGACAAAGCCAUUGAGCAACCUCCCAAAACCCUCAUGUCCAAGGACAAAGAAGGCAAGGAUCAUAUCUUGCCGAACCCCGCCUAUACUCACUGGCUUAUCCAAGAUCAACAAAUAGUCACAUACCUUCUUAGGAAUCUCUCCAAGGAAGUGCUCGUUCAGGUAGCGUCGCUGGAAACUUCGCACGCAAUCUGGACUGCCCUUGGGAACAUGUUCACUAUAGUUUCCCUCUCCUGCGCCAACAACAUCAGGGCCGCCCUCACCAACGCCUAG